RNAcentral lists this ribosomal RNA (501 nucleotides) under uncultured bacterium. RNAcentral describes it as "partial 16S ribosomal RNA". It matches the Rfam family "Bacterial small subunit ribosomal RNA", at positions 30 to 523 of the family's 1533-position model. The record is from RNAcentral.
AUUGAACGCUGGCGGCAGGCUUAACACAUGCAAGUCGAGCGGGGGAAGGUAGCUUGCUACCGGACCUAGCGGCGGACGGGUGAGUAAUGCUUAGGAAUCUGCCUAUUAGUGGGGGACAACAUCUCGAAAGGGAUGCUAAUACCGCAUACGUCCUACGGGAGAAAGCAGGGGAUCUUCGGACCUUGCGCUAAUAGAUGAGCCUAAGUCGGAUUAGCAAGUUGGUGGGGUUAAGGCCUACCAAGGCGACGAUCUGUAGCGGGUCUGAGAGGAUGAGCCGCCACACUGGGACUGAGACACGGCCCAGACUCCUACGGGAGGCAGCAGUGGGGAAUAUUGGACAAUGGGGGGAACCCUGAUCCAGCCAUGCCGCGUGUGUGAAGAAGGCCUUAUGGUUGUAAAGCACUUUAAGCGAGGAGGAGGCUACUCUAGUUAAUACCUAGGGAUAGUGGACGUUACUCGCAGAAUAAGCACCGGCUAACUCUGUGCCAGCCGCCGCGGUAC